GCGGUUCUUGGAGCUGAGCAAGGCCAUAGCUUCGUCCCGGCCACGCCCUACCGAGCCCCUGCUCCCUGCCCUGAAGAACGACACCAUGGACGCCACCAAGCUUCGGCCACGCAUCCCCUCGGCCAUGGCUAGCCCAACACCGUCCACGCGCGUCACAGAAGCAGGAAGCGAGGGGGGCAGUGGCACGGUCUUCCCUGGCCUAAGAAGGCCAACACAACGGCUUACGGUGUGGUGGCGAGAGCAGGCCAUGGCGGGGCCAUCUGUCGCUGCGGCGAGCGCUGCUGCCGAGCCGUGGCCGCCUAUGCUCGGCAACCGUUGGGCGAGCGGGCGCAGUGUAAGGAGGAGGCGCCAGGGAGAGAGAAGGAGAAGGGGAAAGGGGACGUGGCUGCCGGAGGUGGGCUCACCGGCGGCGCGCCCGGCCGGGGGAGUCAGCAGACCAUGCGCGAGGUGGUGGCGCUCGGCUGGGGUGAGUAGCUGGACGAGAUUUGUGGAUUGGGCCCUGACAGGUGGCCCCUCCUUUUAACUUAACAUUCAACUUCUUUAUGUUGACUUUUAGUGCCGUGUGGACUUGACUAGCGGGCCCGGCAUGUCAGAAAUUGGAUUAAUUUGUCUUGAACCAUCUUCAGUGUUUAUUGAGAAAAUUAGUAAGGAAACCGGUAGAUUUUUGGAGCGCAUAAGGAAUGUGGUGGCAAAUCCGAAAAUGAACUUAGAAUGUGGUUGUUUUUAGCAAUUCACUCCUGAGCAGACCAUGACCAGCUCGUAUACUAAACCAAGGGCGGGCAGAGUAAAACUCAAUCCAAAUGGUUCUUACCUUGAAAACAAAUGGGGUGCAGGCAUGAUUCUCAGGGAUUCUGAAGGCUCAAUAAUUCUUAGUUCAUGCAGGCAUCUAUUCACAUGCGCUGAUGCGUUAGAAGCAAAGCUAUUAGCUAUAAAAGAGGGAAUUUCAUUAGCACUACAAUGGAAUUAUACUUACCCAUUGAUGUCGAAUCGGAUUGUUCGGAGGAUAUCUCGAUGAUCAAGGAAGGAGUUGGCAACAAAUAAAAGCAUGCGUUCAUCGUCAAGGAGAUCAUUGAUAGCUGGCUGCAAACUCUCGCGCCUUGCCAGCUGAGCUAUGCUCAGUUCUCAUUGGACGAGAUUUUAAGACCGAACUUUGAGUAAUACAAGAACUUUUUCGCAAAAAAAAACAUGUUAAAACCAUCACAAUUCACUGACCUGCACAAUUGCAGAUAUGAGUUCUUCUGUCUUUUUGUGCUUCAGGAUAACAAGGAGUGCUUUUCCGACGACGUUUUGCCCAACGGCCUCAGCGUCGGCAAGGGAGACAUCGUGUUCUACGCCCCCUACGCCAUGGGCAGGAUGGAGCGGCUGUGGGGCGAGGACGCCAUUGCCUUCCGACCCGAAAGAUGGCUCGACGAGCGCGGCGAGUUCCUGCCGGAGAGCCCUUUCAAGUUCACGGCUUUCCAGGCUGGUCCAAGGAUCUGCUUAGGAAAGGAAUUCGCGUACAGGGAGAUGAAGAUCUUCGCGGCCGUGCUGCUCCGCUUCUUCGUGCUCGCGUUGCAUGACAAGGAUGCCAGCGUCAACUACAGGACCAUGAUCACGCUCUACAUCGAUCAGGGUCUCCAUCUGACGGCUACGGCCAGAGGCAUCGUGUAGCCACCUUUGUACUCAAGAUACGCGUACGUACAUGAUUGAAUAUCUCUUCUUCUUUUUUUGAGACUCGCGAUUGAAUGUCUCAAGUAUUGAAUCUUAGCCCGGACAUGGAAGUGGCUCCGUCUGAACAUAUAUUUUGUGAACUACCUUUUUUUUCACAUUCCAAUGACAACGUAUGAGCAA
Molecule: long non-coding RNA, 1830 nt
Filed under: Triticum aestivum (bread wheat)
Lineage: Eukaryota; Viridiplantae; Streptophyta; Magnoliopsida; Poales; Poaceae
Description: long non-coding RNA (TAES_LNC026063)
Source: RNAcentral